GCCUGGCUGGCUGAGCUGGUAGAGCAUGUGACUCUUGAUCUCAGGGUUGUGAGUUCCAGCCCCACCUUGGGCA
RNAcentral lists this transfer RNA (73 nucleotides) under Ailuropoda melanoleuca (giant panda). It matches the Rfam family "tRNA". Rfam says of the family: Transfer RNA (tRNA) molecules are approximately 80 nucleotides in length. The record is from Rfam by way of RNAcentral. Lineage: Eukaryota; Metazoa; Chordata; Mammalia; Carnivora; Ursidae.